GGAGUUUUCCCUUUUCUGAUUGAUGAGGAAAUAAACAGUCGAAGAACAAACUGAUUUGCCCUAGCCGGCAUUACGCAACUCAUUUCCCAUUUCUGAUUGAUGAGAAGUUAAACGAAGGAAAGUGAGCCAUGCCGUUGUUUAUAUCGGAUGAGGAAUACGAGCGGUGCUCGCAAGAUGCCGGUUUGGUAGCGGUUAAAGCUGAUGAGUUUAUUCGAGAUUUGUACAAUCAACUGGAAAAUGUGAAAGCACAGGCUGAUGCUGCAUCUAUUACAGCUGAACAGACUUGUUCUGUUCUUGAACAGAAGUAUGUCUCGCUUUCUUCAGAGUACUCCGCGCUUCAACUCCAGUAUUCUCAACUU
RNAcentral lists this unclassified non-coding RNA (359 nucleotides) under Hevea brasiliensis (rubber tree). Lineage: Eukaryota; Viridiplantae; Streptophyta; Magnoliopsida; Malpighiales; Euphorbiaceae. The record is from RNAcentral.